GCCUAUUUUGUAACUUUUAUGAUUCCCACUUAUAGAUGAGGAGUCUACGGCACUGUGCAAAGUAGUAACUUCUAUUCCAGAAACCAUUGUUACUUAGUAUUUUAACUCGGGGACAGAGAAUGAAGCCUUCAUUUCCCCGUUCCCUGUAAUGACUUGGGGUAAUCCUGCCCUUGCUGCCUGCCCUGUCUGGAUGUGGGUGACAGGGCCCCACAGAAGGACGCCCAGCUCACAGGUCUUCCCUUUCUAGUUGCCUUUGCUGGCCUGGCCUUUGCUUCCUUCUACCUGGCAGGGAAGUUACACUGCUUCACACCCCAAGGCCGAGGGAAGUCCUGGAGGCUCUGUGCCUUUCUGUCACCUUUACUCUUUGCAGCUGUGAUUGCACUGUCCCGCACGUGUGACUAUAAGCACCACUGGCAAGGUAAGCAGGGUUUUAAUUUGUCUUGUUUAUGCCACAGGAUUUCUGCUCUGCUUGUGUUAAGCACUGCGGAGUGGCUUACUGCGCUGCUGAGGCAACCCGAGUACUGUAUUGUGUGUGCAUUUACAGCCACAGGGACAAACGUGGUGGGCAGCGAGUGGCUCAGAGUUAAAGGCACUUGAUGCACAAGCCUGGCAUUGCUGUGUCUAAUCCCCGGAACACACGUAUAGGUAGAAGGAAAGACAGGAUUCCAGCGUUGUCCUCUCACCUCCACACGGAUCCCUGCCCAACACACAUGUUCUUUUUAAAAUUUGUAUAUAGUAUAUAUGCACGUGAGUGCAGGUACAUGAUUCAAUCAUGCGGGAAGCUAGGCAUGUGACAGUAACCCUCCCCAGCAUAGCAGAUACAAGGCCACUCUCAGCUUUUUAUGUGGGUACUGGGGAUUUGAACCCAGGUCUUCUUGUUGAUGCAAGUAAGUGCUCGUACCUGCUCAGCCAGCUCCUCAGCUCUCAACUGUUAACCCAACAUCACCCCCAACCCCAAUGCCACCAGACAGGGUUUCAUUAGUUAGCUCUGGAUGGCCCUGGAUCUUGCUAUGUAGACCAAGCUGGCCUUGAACUUACAGAAUUACAGCUGCCUCUGUUUGCUGGGUGCUGUAUAAAAGGUGCGCACUACCGUACCUCAGCUCCCUCUAUUUUUAAGACAGGACCCCGCCUCUAGCCCAAGCCUAGACAGAAGCAGGCUUCUGUGUCAGCCUCCCAUAUGUUGGGUUGACCGUGUGCCGCCAAGCCUCGGCAGAAUUCUUCAAGUAGUGAAAGCUAAUGAAUGGCGAGUCACAAAAACACUUGUUAUCCUUUGUUAAAACAUUCUAACUCAGUCCAUGCUGAUUGAAGGGUGUGUUGUUUGAUGUUAAGAGAACAAUCUGACUAAUAACCCCGAAACUGUAUGAUAAAAUAAAGUCACUCUAAAGAAACUAAUAGCACAGGUUCAGGGCUGUUUUUAGCCCCUACAAGCAGAGGGCCAGGUUGCCUGUGUAGCGUCUAGCAUGGUUUUAAGGGGUGCUAUUUUCUCUCUUCAGAUGUGCUCGUUGGAUCCAUGAUUGGAACAACAUUUGCCUAUGUCUGCUACAGGCAGUACUACCCCCCUCUCACUGACACAGAGUGCCAUAAACCAUUCCAGGACAAGCACAGACUUCCGUCUUCACAGAAGCCCAGUGUGCCUCACCGUUUGGACAUUUAGUUGAGUCUACCUCAGUGGAGAGCAAGCAAAUCAAUCCUCCUAACUGGACACCAUGCACAAGCCAAGGAUUUCUGGCUUUUACCUCUUCCAAGGUCAAAGGGAGGACACAGCCACACUGUGCACCUUUGCCCCACUUCCAAGGCUAGACCCUGAGGUCUCACUGCCUGGCUUGACACGGGCUCUCUCAGUGCUUCUCUCACUAGGUUAAUGAGUCCGGUCCCAGUAUUCUCAGAUCUAGUCAGUGUCUUUAUGUCGAUGUAAAUGUCACUCCUGAAGAAAGCUUUUUAUAAAGGAAGCUUCUCAUGACCCCAUUUUAUCCUAGAAGGCUUAAUUACCAGACAUAAUCUCUGUCCCUUAUAAAUUAGGGCAGUUCCAAACUUUGAUUCUGUUUACUUUUUGUGGUAACAUUCCAUUAAGCCUUAAAUAAUAAAACAUCCAAUUUUUUACUUUUUACUACAUUAGGAAAGAAAACUUAUGGGUGUUAUCUAGAAGAUAAAUGUAUCUUUUUCUGCCUUUUGUUCACAAAGAAACAUAUGGAGCAGCUAAAGGCUCUCACUAGAACUUGAUCCUGAGGACCACUUGAUGGAUAGCUACCUUUUCUUCAUUGUUACUAUACUUUAAAUAAAAUUCAGUCU
RNAcentral lists this long non-coding RNA (2289 nucleotides) under Rattus norvegicus (Norway rat). RNAcentral's name for it is "long non-coding RNA NONRATT012063". Lineage: Eukaryota; Metazoa; Chordata; Mammalia; Rodentia; Muridae. The record is from RNAcentral.